RNAcentral lists this ribosomal RNA (301 nucleotides) under uncultured bacterium. RNAcentral's name for it is "partial 16S ribosomal RNA". It matches the Rfam family "Bacterial small subunit ribosomal RNA", at positions 509 to 807 of the family's 1533-position model. The record is from RNAcentral.
CAGUAGCCGCGGUAAUACGUAGGGUGCGAGCGUUAAUCGGAAUUACUGGGCGUAAAGCGUGCGCAGGCGGUUCGUUAAGACAGAUGUGAAAUCCCCGGGCUUAACCUGGGAACUGCAUUUGUGACUGGCGAGCUAGAGUAUGGCAGAGGGGGGUAGAAUUCCACGUGUAGCAGUGAAGUGCGUAGAGAUGUGGAGGAAUACCGAUGGCGAAGGCAGCCCCCUGGGCCAAUACUGACGCUCAUGCACGAAAGCGUGGGGAGCAAACAGGAUUAGAUACCCCCGUAGUCCCUGUCUCUUAUAC